ACCUAUCUGAUGAGUCGUAAAUAGGAAGAAAUGCGCAUCCUGGAU
This 45-nucleotide non-coding RNA is filed under the name Schistosoma curassoni. The record is from RNAcentral. Lineage: Eukaryota; Metazoa; Platyhelminthes; Trematoda; Strigeidida; Schistosomatidae.